Molecule: ribosomal RNA, 496 nt
Filed under: uncultured bacterium
Lineage: Bacteria
Description: partial 16S ribosomal RNA
Rfam family: Bacterial small subunit ribosomal RNA
Source: RNAcentral
GACGAACGCUGGCGGCGUGCCUAAUACAUGCAAGUAGAACGCUGAAGAGAGGAGCUUGCUCUUCUUGGAUGAGUUGCGAACGGGUGAGUAACGCGUAGGUAACCUGCCUUGUAGCGGGGGAUAACUAUUGGAAACGAUAGCUAAUACCGCAUAACAAUGGAUGACACAUGUCAUUUAUUUGAAAGGGGCAAUUGCUCCACUACAAGAUGGACCUGCGUUGUAUUAGCUAGUAGGUGAGGUAAUGGCUCACCUAGGCGACGAUACAUAGCCGACCUGAGAGGGUGAUCGGCCACACUGGGACUGAGACACGGCCCAGACUCCUACGGGAGGCAGCAGUAGGGAAUCUUCGGCAAUGGGGGCAACCCUGACCGAGCAACGCCGCGUGAGUGAAGAAGGUUUUCGGAUCGUAAAGCUCUGUUGUAAGUCAAGAACGGGUGUGAGAGUGGAAAGUUCACACUGUGACGGUAGCUUACCAGAAAAGGACGGCUAACUACGU